Long non-coding RNA from Sceloporus undulatus (fence lizard), 328 nucleotides. RefSeq lists it as uncharacterized. The record is from RefSeq and is a predicted model, not a curated record. The transcript has 3 exons. NCBI's taxonomy places the organism in Eukaryota, Metazoa, Chordata, Lepidosauria, Squamata, Phrynosomatidae.
UAUAUAGAACAAGAACAAGGGGAAAAUUCUAAUGAUCGCAACGAUAGAGCCAUCAGAGUAGCAGUAAAGUGGUACAAUGAACAUCUGGCAAAGUUACAAACUGAAGAAAAGAUUAAAGUUAUCUUGCUCACCAAUGACAGAAAAAAUAAAAAUAAAGCCGUGGAAGAGGGAAUAACUGCUUAUACAUGCGAAGAAUACAUAAAGAGCUUAAUAGCUAAUCCUGAGCUUGUAGAUCGUCUUGCUUGCUUAAAUGAUGAAGGGAAUGAGAUAGAAAGUGGAAGGAUUAUUUUCUCAGAGCAUCUUCCUCUUAGCAAAUUGCAGCAGGGUA